This 559-nucleotide ribosomal RNA is filed under the name uncultured bacterium. RNAcentral's name for it is "bacterial SSU rRNA". It matches the Rfam family "Bacterial small subunit ribosomal RNA", at positions 338 to 916 of the family's 1533-position model. The record is from RNAcentral.
CCUACGGGAGGCAGCAGUAGGGAAUAUUGGUCAAUGGGCGAAAGCCUGAACCAGCAACGCCGCGUGCGCGAUGAAGGCCUUCGGGUCGUAAAGCGCUUUUGGGAGGGAUGAAAAUGACAGUACCUCCCGAAUAAGGAUCGGCUAACUACGUGCCAGCAGCCGCGGUAAGACGUAGGAUCCAAGCGUUAUCCGGAAUUACUGGGCGUAAAGGGCGUGUAGGAGGUUGGGCAAGUCGGCCAUGAAAGCUCCCGGCUCAACUGGGAGAGGCUGGUCGAUACUGCCUGGCUAGAGGGCAAGAGAGGGAGGUGGAAUUCCCGGUGUAGUGGUGAAAUGCGUAGAUAUCGGGAGGAACACCAGUGGCGAAGGCGGCCUCCUGGCUUGUACCUGACUCUGAAACGCGAAAGCAUGGGUAGCAAACAGGAUUAGAAACCCUGGUAGUCCAUGCCAUAAACGAUGUCAACUGGGUGUCGGCGAAGUAAAAUUUGUCGGUGCCGAAGCUAACGCGUUAAGUUGACCGCCUGAGGACUACGAUCGCAGAUAAACUCAAAGGAAUUGACGG